UACGUAGGGGGCAAGCGUUGUCCGGAAUCAUUGGGCGUAAAGCGCGUGUAGGCGGCCUGGCAAGUCUGGUGUGAAAUCUUGGGGCUCAACCCCAAGCUGUCACUGGAUACUGUCAGGCUCGAGUCCGGAAGAGGAGUGUGGAAUUCCUGGUGUAGCGGUGGAAUGCGCAGAUAUCAGGAGGAACACCAAUGGCGAAGGCAGCACUCUGGUACGUGACUGACGCUGAGACGCGAAAGCGUGGGGAGCAAACAGG
This 253-nucleotide ribosomal RNA is filed under the name uncultured bacterium. RNAcentral describes it as "partial 16S ribosomal RNA". It matches the Rfam family "Bacterial small subunit ribosomal RNA", at positions 524 to 776 of the family's 1533-position model. The record is from RNAcentral.